AAAGUCGUAACAAGGUCUCCGUUGGUGAACCAGCGGAGGGAUCAUUACAGAGUUGCAAAACUCCCACACCCUUUGUGAACGCACUGGAACUACUGCUUCGGCGGGCAAGCUCUUCAGUGGGCAGCCCGCCGGAGAAGCACUAAACUCUUGUAUUUUUGGCUUCUCUGAGUGAUUAUACAAUGAAUCAAAACUUUCAACAACGGAUCUCUUGGUUCUG
Molecule: unclassified non-coding RNA, 217 nt
Filed under: Ascomycota sp.
Lineage: Eukaryota; Fungi; Ascomycota
Description: partial contains small subunit ribosomal RNA, internal transcribed spacer 1, and 5.8S ribosomal RNA
Rfam family: Eukaryotic small subunit ribosomal RNA (bases 1-47)
Source: RNAcentral